Paramuricea clavata is the source of this 1091-nucleotide non-coding RNA. Lineage: Eukaryota; Metazoa; Cnidaria; Anthozoa; Malacalcyonacea; Plexauridae. The record is from the annotation of a GenBank genome assembly.
AUUUAUGAAAAGGGUGUAUUAUACCUAUACUUAUCUACAGUAUUAAUAAUGGUCGAAAUCAAACUCAGCACUCAACAGGGAACUUGAUUUUUUUACUCCCAAACGGAUAAAUAUACCCUUUUGGCCACACUUUUACGCAAGCAAGGUUUUCCAAUUCCAAAGCUUUACAAAUCAAACCUAAAAUUUUUUUGUUGAGAAUAACUAUCUUGACAAGUGCGUAUACAGAGGUUGGCCUAUCUUUGUUGUUGAAAACCAAUACUAAAUUUAACUUACGUGUUACAUAAGUCAUAACCAAGUUAAAACUAACCUCGCUCCCAGUGGCCAUUUGUUUUUGAAACUGCUUUGCCUUUAGCUUGCUCGUUGCAGGGGUUGAACAGAAUAACCUCUCUUGACUCUACAUUUCAAGCUUGACCUAACAUUUCAAGCUUGACUCUACAUUUCAAGGUCAUCCGUCAGAAGAGUAAUGGGGAGUUAAAUAAUAACCUUUCGGUCAAUCAAAAUGACAAAAAAGCAAUGAAUAUAACCCCCGUAAGUUAAUAACCAAGUUGUAAAUUUAGGGAGGAAAGGUGGGGUAAAUGUGUCAGUUAGAAAAAGAAAGGAAUAAUUAUUUAGUUUACGCAAUAAUUAUUCCAGCAAUAAUUCCCCCGCCUCUGGUAAUUUUUACCAUUUUUUUUCUGUUUUAGCGUUGCGUGUUUCGGAGUUACACUGUAUUUCCGGGGUUUCUCAUUUUAGUGAUAGUCGUGUUCGUUAUAUUCAUUUUGAAAUCAGUUUCCUGCUAUCUGAUUGGCUCUAAGCAUCUGAGCAGUGCUAUUUCACUACGAAUCGCACUCAUAGCUGCGCGAUUUCAAAAUUGCUUGUACUGCUUUACUUUAGCCAGCCAAUCAGUGAAUUAAUUCACCCAACUAGCCAAUCAAUUUUAAGAAAUAAAUCAAUUUAGCGAAUUAGGGCCUGUUCAUAUGGGCAAAAGUUAUCCCGGUUAAAUUAACGAGAAAACUUUUCAACCAUGCAGCCAAAUAUUUUUGUUCUGUUCAUAUGGAGAAACGUUAUCCCGCCUACCAGGUAAAGUUUCCGGCUGUCAAGUAGCACUGAAC